UUAACUCACAUUUGUAUGGAGUUGGAAUGUUUGCCGCUAGAGGUGCUGUUCCAACUGCAUACAAAUUUUAGUUA
Molecule: microRNA precursor, 74 nt
Filed under: Bombyx mori (domestic silkworm)
Lineage: Eukaryota; Metazoa; Arthropoda; Insecta; Lepidoptera; Bombycidae
Description: mir-2807 microRNA precursor family
Rfam family: mir-2807 microRNA precursor family
Source: Rfam by way of RNAcentral